This 118-nucleotide non-coding RNA is filed under the name Rhizobium sp. Root482. RNAcentral's name for it is "Rhizobiales sRNA Atu_C9". It matches the Rfam family "Rhizobiales sRNA Atu_C9", at positions 1 to 116 of the family's 192-position model. Lineage: Bacteria; Pseudomonadati; Pseudomonadota; Alphaproteobacteria; Hyphomicrobiales; Rhizobiaceae. The record is from Rfam by way of RNAcentral.
CGUCCACGCAAGGAGGGCCGGUUAUGGGAAUUACACAUUCGUUGAAUGUCCUCUUGAUAAGUGCAGCGUUCGUAUUCGUAGCGACCAUGCUUUUCAUCUGACGAGUACAAGACGAGCA